Molecule: ribosomal RNA, 605 nt
Filed under: uncultured bacterium
Lineage: Bacteria
Description: bacterial SSU rRNA
Rfam family: Bacterial small subunit ribosomal RNA (bases 1-533)
Source: RNAcentral
CCUACGGGAGGCAGCAGUAAGGAAUAUUGGUCAAUGGGCGCAAGCCUGAACCAGCCAUGCCGCGUGCAGGAAGACGGCCCUACGGGUUGUAAACUGCUUUUGUACCGGAAUAAACCCCCGAUCGUGAUCGGGGCUGAAUGUACGGUAAGAAUAAGGAUCGGCUAACUCCGUGCCAGCAGCCGCGGUAAUACGGAGGAUCCAAGCGUUAUCCGGAUUUAUUGGGUUUAAAGGGUGCGUAGGCGGCCUGUUAAGUCAGGGGUGAAAGACGGUAGCUUAACUAUCGCAGUGCCUUUGAUACUGACGGGCUUGAAUGUACUUGAGGUAGGCGGAAUGUGACAAGUAGCGGUGAAAUGCAUAGAUAUGUCACAGAACACCAAUUGCGAAGGCAGCUUACUAAAGUAUGAUUGACGCUGAGGCACGAAAGCGUGGGGAUCAAACAGGAUUAGAUACCCUGGUAGUCCACGCCCUAAACGAUGAAUACUCGAUGUUGCGAUAUACGGCCAGCGUCUAAGCGAAAGCGUUAAGUAUUCACCUGGGAGUAGCCGCAGGUGAAACGUUAAAGAGUUAGUGCGNGNGAGNGNGACGACGACGACGAGGAGGAGGAG